This is a non-coding RNA of Elaeis guineensis (African oil palm), 691 nucleotides long. Lineage: Eukaryota; Viridiplantae; Streptophyta; Magnoliopsida; Arecales; Arecaceae. The record is from RefSeq and is a predicted model, not a curated record.
ACAAUGUACUGCACCUUAAACUAACUCUUUUCAAUCUUGACAAGGUUUGACUCUGUUCAAGUAACAAUAAUCCCUUUUAGUAGCUCUUCACCUUGUUUGCAAGCUGCCAUAACGAUUUCCUUGGCACCAUGGGGUGCUUUAUUCAUUGAUAAUGUUUGAAGGUCAACACCAUCUUCUGAUUGAAAUCUAUCAUUGACUUUAACCUUGAACCAUAGUGUCUUUUCUUGAUCUGGCAUUGGUCUUCAUAGAUCUUUAAUUUUAACUCUAAUAUGGCAAGUCAAGGGGCUUUACCAUUUGAAAGGUGAAGCUAGGCAGGCAAGCAAGGUGCAGCGAAUGAGCUAGGCUGGGCCUGGACCCAUGAUCUGGCACAUGAUGCUGAGACCCAGGUCCAAGUACAAACCCUGUCCGUCCCUAAUCCUACGUCCUAAUUGGUUGAAUAGGUUUGCUGAGGCCUCGUGUUCUAUGAUAGAACAUUAGAAUGAUGGAUGGUGUCUUUUCUCAUGCUUAGAAGGAAUAGACAAUUGGUAAAAACCAUCCUCCCUGCAAGUUACAAUUUUUCUUCUUUAUAUAGCUUUAAUCACCUUAAAAGUAUGUUUCUGCCAACCAGGGAAAAAAGCCUUUUUCAGUGCUGUGUUUACCUCCUUCAAGCAUUAAUUCCCAUCCCAUUUCUUAGUGGAACUCCUAUGAACAA